UGCCUGUCCAAGGUACACGCAAGGUUCUCCUAAUUGAGAGUAUCGAUGUGUUCAUAGAGGAUGAGUACAGUAGGCACGUCUUGUUCCUCACCAACAUAGACCAGAAGUUUGGUUACUUUGUGAGAGCUCUCUUUUUCUUCACGCCGAAUCCUGGGCUUCAAGUUCUCAAAGAGAUCUUGAGGAAAGGAUUGAGCAACGUGUUGGCUGCCUACCCUUGUUGUGCAGGGAGGUUAAGGAUCAAUUCAAGUGAUAAGCUUGAGAUCGAUUGCAACAACCAGGGUGCACGUUUGGGUGUGGGGAGCUGCACGCUGUCCAUCUCUGAGGUGAUUGCAGCAUUUUGAUGAGUUUUUUCUCGAGCCUUCCGACAAUCUGGAGUCGUUUGAGGACCUUCCUCUGAUGAACAUUCAGGUCAUCGAAAUUAUCAAUGGAUAUGCCAUCUCCAUGCUGCAACAUCACACCUUGGGAGAGGCAACAUCGGCAAUUUGCUUCCUCAUGGAUCAGAGAAAGAAUUAAAGCUUGUAAGCUUCAAACACACAUCCAAUUUCUUUUCUAGGGGUUAUAUCUU
Long non-coding RNA from Selaginella moellendorffii, 565 nucleotides. RefSeq lists it as uncharacterized. The record is from RefSeq and is a predicted model, not a curated record. The transcript has 2 exons. NCBI's taxonomy places the organism in Eukaryota, Viridiplantae, Streptophyta, Lycopodiopsida, Selaginellales, Selaginellaceae.